AAGUCGUAACAAGGUUUCCGUAGGUGAACCUGCGGAAGGAUCAUUAGUGAUUAAUUAUUGAGUGUAAAAACUCAUAAUCUUCUAUACAAACCACUGUUUUUAAAAUGUUUACUAGAAUGUCCAAGCAGUUAAGCUGUUGAAAUAUUAAAAGUUUAAUAAAACUUUCAGCAACGGAUCUCUUGGUUCAG
Molecule: unclassified non-coding RNA, 188 nt
Filed under: Wallemia sebi
Lineage: Eukaryota; Fungi; Basidiomycota; Wallemiomycetes; Wallemiales; Wallemiaceae
Description: partial internal transcribed spacer region
Rfam family: Eukaryotic small subunit ribosomal RNA (bases 1-46)
Source: RNAcentral